UACCACCCAGUUCCAGGAGGUUUCCGAUCACCGGAUAAGGCCUCGGUCCUGGUGGAAGCCCUUUGCGUCUUCCACUGGAAAUGAAACUUAAAGCCAUCACCCAAACCAAUGUGAACAAGAGCCACAGUAUGCAGCUAAUUAACAAAUCCAUCUUUGAAUAGAAGUUUGUAUUUUGAUUUCUCUUUAUUUGAAGCUCUCAUUAACACCGUCCCCUUCACUUUCUUUUAUAGUAGCUGGAUUCUGCAAGUUGCCAUUUCAAGGUCCAACGAAACAUGAGAUUUGAAUUGGAGUUGUUCCCAGUUCCCACCCAAUUGAUUACCGACAGUAAUUACACGACCUACGAGACUAGCGAUGGAUGCAGAAAAGUCAAAUAAGGGC
This 378-nucleotide long non-coding RNA is filed under the name Citrus maxima (pomelo). RNAcentral's name for it is "long non-coding RNA (CMAX_LNC003879)". The record is from RNAcentral. Lineage: Eukaryota; Viridiplantae; Streptophyta; Magnoliopsida; Sapindales; Rutaceae.